GACGAACGCUGGCGGCGUGCUUAACACAUGCAAGUCGAACGGAAAGGCCCUGCUUGCAGGGUACUCGAGUGGCGAACGGGUGAGUAACACGUGGGUGAUCUGCCCUGCACUUCGGGAUAAGCUUGGGAAACUGGGUCUAAUACCGGAUAGGAGCCAUCUUUAGUGUGGUGGUUGGAAAGUUUUUUUGGUGUAGGAUGAGCUCGCGGCCUAUCAGCUUGUUGGUGGGGUAAUGGCCUACCAAGGCGGCGACGGGUAGCCGGCCUGAGAGGGUGUACGGCCACAUUGGGACUGAGAUACGGCCCAGACUCCUACGGGAGGCAGCAGUGGGGAAUAUUGCACAAUGGGCGCAAGCCUGAUGCAGCGACGCCGCGUGGGGGAUGAAGGCCUUCGGGUUGUAAACUCCUUUCGCUAGGGACGAAGCUUUUUUGUGACGGUACCUAGAUAAGAAGCACCGGCUAACUACGUG
Molecule: ribosomal RNA, 466 nt
Filed under: uncultured bacterium
Lineage: Bacteria
Description: partial 16S ribosomal RNA
Rfam family: Bacterial small subunit ribosomal RNA
Source: RNAcentral